This is a long non-coding RNA of Heterocephalus glaber (naked mole-rat), 1615 nucleotides long. The record is from Ensembl. NCBI's taxonomy places the organism in Eukaryota, Metazoa, Chordata, Mammalia, Rodentia, Bathyergidae.
GAAGUUUCUUUCUGGUGUACUGAUGUCCCUGCGCUGCCACAUAUGUCUGUUAAGGACUUACUUGGGUACCGUGGGUUCAGAAGGUCCUGGAAAUCUACUCAGGAUCCUGAGCAGCGUGGACAGAAAAGUUGCUUUAAAAGAAAGAGCAGUAAACAUUAUUGGCCCUGAAGAGCUCCAGAGACCAGCACCCAGCAGUUUGAUGGCAUCCAGCCCAAGUCAAAUGCAGAGGAGUGCAAGAUAUCUGGCCAUACACUAGAGACUCGAAGAAUCCAGGUGAGGCUCUGGAUUCCUCAGCAAUGUCCCGCACAAGUCAGCCAGAGGCCUAGAGUCCACGGCGAGGUCUCAUGCAAGUCCAUAUGGAGGAUCUGCACCAAGAAGCCCCAGCGACCAGUGGUGGAAGCUAGAAAGCCUGUGCCGGCAGGGUGAAGGAUCUGCACCAGAGCCAGGAAGCGACGGUCAAGGUGACGACCAGAGCUGCCCUGACGAGAACAGCCAUCCCCAGUGACAGCGAGGCCCCGAGCUCCUCCCUCUGACUAUGAGAACGGCCAAGUUUGCAGCAGGAAAACCAGCCACGGCAACCUUCUCCAAGAAAAUCAACAGCAAAUGAUCUUCCCCUCCCGUUCUCUUUUUAUGACAUUGGCAACAAUCCUCAGGGCCUUGCUACUUUGCUAAACUGCCCAGGCUGACAAUGGCUGGCUCCUGUUCCUCGCCUGGAAUCACCUGGAGGCAGGUCUACACUGGCUCCUGCCUUCCUAGAGGGACAGAGCCCCAGAGCACCAUGCCCUCCCAACUUGGCUGUCUUCCUUCCCUGCCUCCAACUCACCUCUCCACAACACUCAAGUUCUUCCUUCAGAAUCAUCGGGCAGGAUAGGGACCAAGACGUGGGACAAAAAACACAAAACAAAUGACAUCUGCCCCAACUGUGACAUUUCACAUAUUUACACUGGGCAUAUUCACGUUUUUAGUGCAGCUGGGAACACAUGUGCGAAUGGGCACAGUACAGCUGAGGCAGAUGGAGGGACAAACAGAUGGAUGAAUAGUCAGGGGUCACCUUCUUCCUCCAAGAAAAUCUCAAAAGUCCUCAUCUGAAGUUCUUCCUUGAUAAGGCCCCACCAACUGAUACUUCCGGCGUAAAUCUCCUCUUAUCCCUGACUGAGGAUCAGCGGUAACAUCUGAGUCUUGCUUUAAGGACACUUGGGAAAUACGCAUUUUAGGGGGUGAAGCUGAAGCCUGAGCAAUGCUCCCAUAGGCACUCUCGGAGAAGGGUGGGCCAGCCAGCGUGGCCAGGAGAACAUGCAGAGUCUGUAUAUACCGGCCAAAAACCAGACUGGCAGCUGGACAGGCCAACAGGCACAUGUCAACCUGUGGAGACGUUACUCAGAUGACAACAGAAAGUCAGGGCAGACACCACCAGGGCCCAGCUUUAGGUUCAGUGUGAGGGAUAGAAAAUCAAAAAUAAAAGAUGUUUAUUUCUCUCAGGUAAAAUCCAUAGGUAAGAACCCCAGAAUUGUCACGGCUGUCCAGAGUAUUGGGACCCCAGGUUAAGCCCUGCUGUCUGUUCGAGGACAGCCACUUCCUUGUUUAAGACUGACUCAUGGGUCCAACAUGGCUGCCG